Molecule: ribosomal RNA, 302 nt
Filed under: uncultured bacterium
Lineage: Bacteria
Description: partial 16S ribosomal RNA
Rfam family: Bacterial small subunit ribosomal RNA
Source: RNAcentral
GCAGUAGCCACGGUAAUACGAAGGGGGCUAGCGUUGUUCGGAAUUACUGGGCGUAAAGCGCACGUAGGCGGAUCCUUAAGUCAGAGGUGAAAUCCCAAGGCUCAACCUUGGAACUGCCUUUGAUACUGGGGAUCUCGAGUUCGGGAGAGGUGAGUGGAACUGCGAGUGUAGAGGUGAAAUUCGUAGAUAUUCGCAAGAACACCAGUGGCGAAGGCGGCUCACUGGCCCGAUACUGACGCUGAGGUGCGAAAGCGUGGGGAGCAAACAGGAUUAGAUACCCCUGUAGUCCCUGUCUCUUAUAC